CCAGCCCGCUCAGAAACUCAAGGAAUUGACGGGGCCCGCACAAGCGGUGGAGCAUGUGGUUAAUUCGAUGAUACGCGAGGAACCUUACCUGGGCUCAAAUGUAUGUUGACGUAUUCUGAAAGGGAUACUUCUUCGGACAAUAUACAAGGUGCUGCAUGGUUGUCGUCAGCUCGUGCCGUGAGGUGUCGGGUUAAGUCCCAUAACGAGCGCAACCCCUAUCAUUAGUUGCCAUCAGGUCAAGCUGGGGACUCUAAUGAAACUGCCUACGCAAGUAGUGAGGAAGGUGGGGAUGACGUCAAAUCAGCACGGCCCUUACGUCCAGGGCUACACACGUGCUACAAUGGCCGGUACAAAGGGCAGCUACCUGGUGACAGGAUGCUAAUCUCAAAAGCCGGUCUCAGUUCGGAUCGGAGUCUGCAACCCGACUCCGUGAAGCUGGAAUCGCUAGUAAUCGUGGAUCAGCAUGCCACGGUGAAUACGUUCCCGGGCCUU
RNAcentral lists this ribosomal RNA (492 nucleotides) under uncultured Sphingobacteriales bacterium. RNAcentral describes it as "bacterial SSU rRNA". It matches the Rfam family "Bacterial small subunit ribosomal RNA", at positions 904 to 1382 of the family's 1533-position model. Lineage: Bacteria; Pseudomonadati; Bacteroidota; Sphingobacteriia; Sphingobacteriales. The record is from RNAcentral.